UUUGUAUUUUCAUGUGUGUUGCUUUUGUGUUGGCUGGCCUCCAGGAAGGAGGUAGCACUUUCAAGAGCACAUCAGCUGUGAUUGUAUAAGGAGGAUACAAGCUUGCCCUAGGGUCACCCUUGGAUAAGUAUUCAGGUUUCUCAGGCAGUGGGCAGGGUCAUAGAGCUCCCAAAAGAUUAUGUUCUUUGUAUUCUGGCUACCAGGGUGAGUAGAGAAAGACCAUCAAGUGGGAGCAGGGUUAGGCAUGUCUGAGCUCAGUCUCUCUUGGGCAGGGCUUGCUGUGGCUGCUGUGGCAGAUUGGGGUGUGGUUCACAGGCCAGUGCAGUUAUGUUCCUUGGGGGAUUAUGGCUGUCUGUUCUGCAUCACACAGGUUGCCAGGGAAAUGGGGGAAAGAUGGCAGCCACAGACCUCACCCACCUCCCACUCAGCCCAUGGCCUGAAAGGCCAGUUUCACUCCCACCAUGCCCCCAGCCCCACCCAAAAGCACUGAGUUUAUUUCUAGGCAGCUGAUGAGCAGGACCGAGAACUUGCCCCAGGCUACAAGCCUCCCAGCUGAGAAAGCAAGGGGACUCACAGUUCCUUGGCUGCCCAUGGAGCCUGCAGUGGCAAUCAACUGUCUUCAACGCAUCUGUGGAUUCUCUCAGCUUUCCUGGAGGAAGAGCAGAAUAUCUAUUUUUAAUCGCUGUUGAAAGAACUAACCAAGAUAACUCACAGAAUAUGUCUGGCCUAGAAUAAAAUUUUAAUAAAUAUAAA
Molecule: long non-coding RNA, 753 nt
Organism: Homo sapiens (human)
Lineage: Eukaryota; Metazoa; Chordata; Mammalia; Primates; Hominidae
Exons: 2
Source: RefSeq, a predicted model, not a curated record